Long non-coding RNA from Ostrinia nubilalis (European corn borer), 4860 nucleotides. RefSeq lists it as uncharacterized. The record is from RefSeq and is a predicted model, not a curated record. Lineage: Eukaryota; Metazoa; Arthropoda; Insecta; Lepidoptera; Crambidae. The transcript has 3 exons.
GGUACCAGGAGAAAAGCGCGGUGCCCGACAGGCCGCCGCCUGUCUCGCAUGCGCCGCCGCCUGUGAGCCAUGCGCCGCCGCCGCAGCCGAAGCCGCAGCAAGACGACAGCUCGUCCAGCUCGUCGAGCAACAGCGACAGCGACUCCGGCAGCGACAGCGACAGCGACAACGACUCCAGCGCGCACCAGCCCGUUCCCAACGGCAACACGAGCAACCCGGCGCUGCCUAGCGACGUGCUGAACGAUGAUCUCUGCCUGUCCGAGUCGGGCAGCGACUCCGACUGACCUCACGAUAAACCUCUUUAUUUAUUUGGGUUUGGGUAUCUCUUCUCCUGACUUCUCUGCGGCCUCCCCCACUCUAGCGCUGUCUGAGCAGGCGCUAGUGUUGUGCAUGUGUCGAUAGUUUGUAUCGAGUUUGUAGUUGAGCGAGUCGAAAAUGGUAACAUCGAUAGCGUUUGCCACUCCAGCUUUCUCCGAGUGAGCGUUGGUGUUGUGUAUGAGUCGAUAGUUUGAGUAUCGAUAGUGGAUCUAAUCGAAAAUGGUAACAUCGAUAGCGUUAGCCACUUCAGCUUUCUCCGAGCAAGCGCUGGUGUUGUGUAUGUGUUGAUAGUUGACCUUAAGGAAAUGGCAACAUCGAUAGCGUUAGCCACUCCAGCUUUCUCCGAGUGAGCGUUGGUGUUGUGUGUGUCGAUAAUUUAAGGAUCGAGAAUUAAUUAGUAACAUCGAUAGUGUUAAUACCAGUAUUCAAUUGAUCAACCGUCACUACUAGUGGAAACACUAUCGCAUAAUUUUUCGAUCUCUUGGUGUGGUAAUUUGCGUACCGGAAUAUAGAGCAAUCUACGGUUCGGUGUUUGAAUUCUGAAAGGAGAAAAUUAUAGUGUAAUGAUUGUAAAUAUUACGUCUGCACUUAUAAUAAGCGGUGUGGAAGCUUGCAAGAAUCAUUAGUAUCGCUAGCUAUAGAUGUUUUACUGUUUUUCGAUGUCACAAGCGUAUAUUAUGUACAACACUAGCGUGAGUGCUCGUCACGUUCGUGCGCUCACGCUGGGAAACCGCUAGUGUGUUGGAGGCCUUAGACGCAAGCAAACAGCUCUAUGAAACUUGGCAAGUGUCUGAAGUCAGCACUCAUUGAAUCGUUAUUCGUAAAUCGUUCACUCAAUACGAUUGUAUACAAAAUUAAGACUUAAACAAGGAUAGAAAAAGCAUAGUUUUGCAUCAACAAGUAUCGAUAUCUUACUGUAUCAUAUCGAUAUGACUCGAUUACUGAUACUGUUUCGUAUUAAACGUACGAAAAUAAUCUGAACGAGCAUGAAUGGCAGCCUGUGUAAAUACGCCUUAAAACCAUACAACGGUUAGGAUUAUUAAUGCAAUAAUAAAAAAAGAGAAUAUGUGGCCAACUUUAUUGUAACGUUAAAAUAACGAAUAGUAACGUUAUCGCUAGCCUAGAAUAUAAUUGAUAUAAUUGACAACGGUGGGGUUUCGGAAUUAGAUGUAUUGUUGUGUGUUGUACAAAAUUAAUGUGUAUUAUGCCUGAAAAUUCGUUAUAGUAAAUUGCAAAAAUGUAUGAAUUCGAAUGUAACUUUAAAGCUGGUCGUAUGAAUGGCUAAGAGUCGCUUCUUAUAUCAUAACUUAAAUGUAAUAUAAUUCAUUAAUAUUAAUAAAACAUACAUGCAUCUCAAUCAUGAAACUAAAGUUCAAGAAUAAAAUGCCUUUUAUACAAACUAUAUUCUCAGUACAUAAUGUAUGGUCCUUAGCAUGUUAGUCUACCAUAAAACGACCAUUUCUCCAAUAGUUUUUGAGCUUUAUGUCUAUAGCAUAUGGUUCAAAAUUGAUUGCGGAAAUUUGAUACUAUAAGGUAGUUUGAUGUGCUAGAGACAGGUAGCUUAGUUUUGGUAUUUUGUACGCUAGUGAUAAAAAUCGUGUCAAAUGAAAGUUUUUGGUCCACUUAGGUAAAUCCUUGAGCGAUAUCCUGCUUAAUCUUUUUCUGAUUGCAGCCGAAUGCAAUAAUCGUAUGCGAAAGACGCACGGGUCUGUGAGGUUUCUCGGAAAAACGUAAACGUUAUGUUGCCAACCAAAGUUUCGAAUGUUGCCAUCCCUUUCACGCAAAGCGAAAUGCCAGCAUGAGAGACAGUGACAGAUAAACCCGAAACAACGUUAACAGCGUUUCGGAGUAGCCCAGUUGAUAUUCGCGCAGUGUAAAAGAAUUGCGACGCAUUAGUUUCGUUUUUCGCGCCUUUUGGAAGAUUAAAAUCGCUCACAAUGCACGGAAUUAUCUUGAAAAGGUCACCUUUAAAAUAAAAAGAAAAUUCUAAUGUAUUAUUCUAAUCAUCGCCUGCAAGGCACCGUGUGUUCUGGAAACCUUUAAAUCGAUGUACAGUCACGGAAUGAAAAGGUUCGUCAGUUUUCAAAUUGAUUCCUUCAACGAAUCGCGAGCACAUAUUACCUUUUGAAACUAUGUUACAGAAUAAUCUCGAGUUAGAGAAAAUAAUCUUUAACUGUUCGUCAGUAAAGUUCAAAAUUAUUCAGAUCAAAGUUGUUUGACGAUUUAUCUUGUCAAGAAGAUUAUUAUGAUUGAUAAACUAAAACCUUCUUGUUGGUUCAACCUGCCAUUAUUAUUUCUAUUAAAUAAAAAAAACUAUUGUCAAUUGGUCAAUGUCAUCAUUGCAUUGCACUGGAUGGGAUAGAAAAAUAAACAAGCAAAACCUUAUUCGUUAGCAAACGUCAUAUUUAUUUAAAUGUUAGCAGCACUGUUUCUUGCACUGUUAUGUUGGCAGGUUUGACUCUUACAGUACCUAGUGCAAGCGAAAACCGACACUAAGGUGACGAACCUUUUCAUUCCGCGACUGUACAAGUUUACUGAAAUCGUGCAAUAAAAGUAAUCGUGUCUUAUUUGCAAUUAAAUAUGAGAGGUCGUAAAACCGUAUGUUUUUUAACAUACAUACCUAUUUCAUCAACUCAUAACAAAGGAAAUUUUACCGUUGCAAAAUAGUGAAAGAGAUUAUUAGAAUUACGCUGAAUAUAUACUUAAUUAUAUACCAAAAGUGCCUUCUCAUUGGCACCAUAUUAUAAGCAAGUAUCGUUAGAACCUCAUAUACCUAUUUAAUAGAAAAAGUAUACAGUCUUUUCUUCUUGUAGGCUACGUGUCCACUAGCAAAAAAUAUCACAUUUUAGUUACCGAUUAUGAAUUCACAAUAAAUAAGCAAUUCUAGUACUUCUUUAUACGUAAGACUGACAGAAAUGUAUUUUUCAUAUUCAAGUAAAUUGUUUAUUAACUAACCUGCAAUGAAUAUACAAAUAUACAUUACUAUAUAUUUUUGCAAUGGACAAUUAGCUGAAAGUUAAAUAUUAUUUUAUGUAAAGGCCUUAUUAAAUACAUGAAAAUAACAAUAAUUUUAAAUCGGCGCUUAGUAUUUAUUAGAAUAUCCUAUUCAUUCUUAGAUAAAUAAAAUUACGUCAAUAUUUCAAUGAUUUAGGCCCAUUUGCUCAACAAACUUAAAAACGAAUUACUUAUUACUUAAUUUAUAAAUUACUUAUAAAAUAUCAAUUUUAACAAAGUAUUUAACACAUCAUGCAUUAUUUAAAGUUAUGAGAAGACAGAAACUGAAUGAUAUUUAAAGAUAGGUAUCUUUAUUUAGUUUGAGUUUUAAAAAACUGUCUUUUUCUACGUUACUUGUUGGUUUUCCAAGUCACUUUCGGCUAUUCCUUUGUCAGUACUCAAUCAAUGUUAAAUUCUGAAUUCUAUAAAUAAUCCUAGUAGUUUUUUUGUGCAACGGGGCCUUAAUAAUGCUUUUACCGUGCUAUGCGUAUCAGUCCAAAAGUUGGCAAAGUUUUGAACAAAAGUAACCCAUCAUUUGGUCCAAUACGCCAAGUGCUGUGUAAGCAAAUAAUUUAAUAAUUUCCUUGUAAGUUGCUUAACAAAUCAUCGAGUAAAAGCAAUCGUGACAUUCUAAAAGGCAUUAUGUGUCUGUUGUUUAAAUUAUAUGAUUGUUAUUCGUUAACUUGUUGUUGAUUCUCAUAAUAGGCUUGGAGAGCUCAUUGUGGUUUUCUUUACUUUCUUUCUAUGUACAUCUGUUUUCUCCAAUGUGUUCAUAAGUCAUUUACUUAUCUCUCUUCUACCAGCGAUAGUGUAUAGAGCCAUUAUGGUACCGUCGCGAAUGUCAUCAACCAACAAUAAUUUAUGUAUUUAGUUUAUUCUGUCUGUUCAAUCUUUAUUGUAAGAAUGUAUUCAUUAAUUUGAUAUGAGCACCUGAGCAAUUAAAAUUGUUGAGCAUCAAUAAUCAUGCUAAAAUGGGACUUAACAUUUAUGUUCUUUUCUUUUUUAGCAAAUAUUAUAUUUUUCAACUUAUGGUAGGUGACGUGUCGCAGCGAAGUUUACACGUGCCAGCACUUUGAUGUUUGUACAAAUGUUUGUGUUAUUUGGCUAGGCCUAUUUUCACCAAAAUCUAAUUUAUGUGCUUUGCGCUAAAGCUCCUUUUGCCUUGGCAAAUACUGGAAACUUUUGCCAAACAUCGGGUGCUAGCAUCAAAUAAAGUGUAACACUUGACUCUUGCCAUGUUUUGAAAUAUUUUUAACGUAAGUGAUGGUACAUAAUAGAGUAACUGUUACGAGUUAUUUUUAUGUCAAACCUAUUUUAUACAUAAUUUUAAGUAAAAACAUUUACUUACGGUUAUGCAUUAGUGACAUAAUAAAAUAAUAAUAAUGUGCCUCAAAUCAGACAAGAGUUAUUUUUUUUAUCUUAUGCCAAUAACAUAGUGCGUCUAGAUAAGCGUGUAAUGUUUGUUUGAUAUUUUUAUGACAACCAUAUUAUUUAAUAUUAUUAGUUAUGAAAUAAAAAUUUUAAUAAAUUUGUAUAGUAAGAGUAAAA